RNAcentral lists this ribosomal RNA (497 nucleotides) under uncultured bacterium. RNAcentral describes it as "partial 16S ribosomal RNA". It matches the Rfam family "Bacterial small subunit ribosomal RNA", at positions 28 to 507 of the family's 1533-position model. The record is from RNAcentral.
GAUGAACGCUGGCGGCGUGCCUAAUACAUGCAAGUCGAGCGAACAGACGAGGAGCUUGCUCCUCUGACGUUAGCGGCGGACGGGGAAGAAACACGUGGUUACCCAACUUUUAAAACGGGGAUAACUUCGGAAAACGGAGGCUAAUACGGGUAAUUAUUUUAAACCGAAGGGUUAAUUAGUGAAAGAGGGUUUUGUGGUAACUAAAGAUGGGUUCCGCGCCGCAUUAGCUAGUUGGUAAGGUAACGGCUUACCAAGGCAACGAUGCGUAGCCGACCUGAGAGGGUGAUCGGCCACACUGGAACUGAGACACGGUCCAGACUCCUACGGGAGGCAGCAGUAGGGAAUCUUCCGCAAUGGGCGAAAGCCUGACGGAGCAACGCCGCGUGAGUGAUGAAGGUCUUCGGAUCGUAAAACUCUGUUAUUAGGGAAGAACAAAUGUGUAAGUAACUAUGCACGUCUUGACGGUACCUAAUCAGAAAGCCACGGCUAACUACGUG